Molecule: non-coding RNA, 418 nt
Organism: Salmo salar (Atlantic salmon)
Lineage: Eukaryota; Metazoa; Chordata; Actinopteri; Salmoniformes; Salmonidae
Source: RefSeq, a predicted model, not a curated record
CGUUCCUCGGCUAGUUACCGACUGUAUAGAUAAGCGGUUUGAUGUAAUGUUAUCGUACGAUUAGUAAAUAUGUUAGCAAUAGGAUAACAUUUGGAUGUGGGACGCAAAAUAACAACAAAAGCCAGUUUCCCCACAAACUGUCGAUGUUCGGAAAUGAUCGAGAAAGUCGAUGUUAGCAAAGCAGCUGAGAACGCGCACAGGCCUUGUCGUGAAAGAUCGGCUCCUUCCAGCCUUCCAGCCGAGUACCCGGAUCGACUCUCUGAGCCAAUCAGAGAUCCAGCUAAGCCUCCUCCUGCUCCCUAUUUAAGAGGUGAUGACCACUCCACUACACUACCAUUGUCAACCCUCACAUGACAUGAACUGAAGCCACGUCUCAUGUCCCCGCUAAUCCACUGGCACAUUGAGUGUUUCCUUUCCA